GAUGAAGAACGCAGCGAAAUGCGAUAAGUAAUGUGAAUUGCAGAAUCCAGUGAAUCAUCGAAUCUUUGAACGCACAUUGCGCCCGCCAGCAUUCUGGCGGGCAUGCCUGUUCGAGCGUCAUUUCAACCCUCGACCUCCCUUUGGGGAAGUCGGCGUUGGGGACCGGCAGCACACCGCCGGCCCUGAAAUGGAGUGGCGGCCCGUCCGCGGCGACCUCUGCGUAGUAAUCCAACUCGCACCGGAACCCCGACGCGGCCACGCCGUAAAACACCCAACUUCUGAACGUUGACCUCGAAUCAGGUAGGACAACCCGCUGAACUUAAGCAUAUCAAUAAGCGGAGGA
This 343-nucleotide unclassified non-coding RNA is filed under the name soil metagenome. RNAcentral's name for it is "partial contains 5.8S ribosomal RNA, internal transcribed spacer 2, and large subunit ribosomal RNA". The stretch from base 1 to 120 matches the Rfam family "5.8S ribosomal RNA", at positions 35 to 154 of the family's 154-position model. The record is from RNAcentral.